RNAcentral lists this ribosomal RNA (497 nucleotides) under uncultured bacterium. Its description in RNAcentral is "partial 16S ribosomal RNA". It matches the Rfam family "Bacterial small subunit ribosomal RNA", at positions 28 to 507 of the family's 1533-position model. The record is from RNAcentral.
GAUGAACGCUGGCGGCGUGCCUAAUACAUGCAAGUCGAGCGAACAGAUGAGGAGCUUGCUCCUCUGACGUUAGCGGCGGACGGGUGAGUAACACGUGGAUAACCUACCUAUAAGACUGGGAUAACUUCGGGAAACCGGAGCUAAUACCGGAUAAUAUAUUGAACCGCAUGGUUCAAUAGUGAAAGACGGGUUUGCUGUCACUUAUAGAUGGAUCCGCGCCGCAUUAGCUAGUUGGUAAGGUAACGGCUUACCAAGGCAACGAUGCGUAGCCGACCUGAGAGGGUGAUCGGCCACACUGGAACUGAGACACGGUCCAGACUCCUACGGGAGGCAGCAGUAGGGAAUCUUCCGCAAUGGGCGAAAGCCUGACGGAGCAACGCCGCGUGAGUGAUGAAGGUCUUCGGAUCGUAAAACUCUGUUAUUAGGGAAGAACAAAUGUGUAAGUAACUAUGCACGUCUUGACGGUACCUAAUCAGAAAGCCACGGCUAACUACGUG